RNAcentral lists this ribosomal RNA (123 nucleotides) under Halobacillus alkaliphilus. RNAcentral describes it as "23S rRNA. Bacterial LSU". It matches the Rfam family "Bacterial large subunit ribosomal RNA", at positions 2804 to 2925 of the family's 2925-position model. The record is from RNAcentral. Lineage: Bacteria; Bacillati; Bacillota; Bacilli; Caryophanales; Bacillaceae.
AUGAGAUUUCCCCUUACGCCAAGUAAGUAAGAUCCCUCAGAGACGAUGAGGUUGAUAGGUCCGAGGUGGAAGCGUGGUGACACGUGGAGCUGACGGAUACUAAUGGAUCGAUGACUUAUCUAU